GCCUAGCCCUAAACAUUGGUAGCAAAAUACACCUGCUAUCCGCCUGGGAACUACGAGCAUUAGCUUAAAACCCAAAGGACUUGGCGGUGCUUUAGAUCCACCUAGAGGAGCCUGUCCUAGAACCGAUAACCCCCGUUAAACCUCACCCCUCCUUGUCCUCCCCGCCUAUAUACCGCCGUCGUCAGCUUACCCUGUGAAGGGCUUAUAGUAAGCAAAAUUGGUAAAACCCAAAACGUCAGGUCGAGGUGUAGCGUAUGGAGGGGGAAGAGAUGGGCUACAUUCCCUAAUGCAGUGAACACGAAUAAUGAGUUGAAAUACUCAUCUGAAGGAGGAUUUAGUAGUAAACAGGAAAUAGAGAGUCCUGCUGAAACCGGCCCUGAAGCGCGC
RNAcentral lists this ribosomal RNA (387 nucleotides) under Bostockia porosa. RNAcentral describes it as "partial 12S ribosomal RNA". It matches the Rfam family "Bacterial small subunit ribosomal RNA", at positions 794 to 1384 of the family's 1533-position model. The record is from RNAcentral. Lineage: Eukaryota; Metazoa; Chordata; Actinopteri; Centrarchiformes; Percichthyidae.